UACGGAGGAUGCGAGCGUUAUCCGGAUUUAUUGGGUUUAAAGGGUGCGUAGGCGGACGCUUAAGUCAGCGGUAAAAUUGCGGGGCUCAACCUCGUCGAGCCGUUGAAACUGGGUGCCUUGAGUGGGCGAGAAGUACGCGGAAUGCGUGGUGUAGCGGUGAAAUGCAUUGAUAUCACGCAGAACUCCGAUUGCGAAGGCAGCGUACCGGCGCCCAACUGACGCUGAAGCACGAAGGCGUGGGUAUCGAACAGG
RNAcentral lists this ribosomal RNA (252 nucleotides) under uncultured bacterium. Its description in RNAcentral is "partial 16S ribosomal RNA". It matches the Rfam family "Bacterial small subunit ribosomal RNA", at positions 524 to 776 of the family's 1533-position model. The record is from RNAcentral.